Molecule: transfer RNA, 67 nt
Filed under: Panthalis oerstedi
Lineage: Eukaryota; Metazoa; Annelida; Polychaeta; Phyllodocida; Acoetidae
Description: tRNA-Val
Source: RNAcentral
CGGGGCAGAGCAUGCUCAAUGCAUCUCACUUACACCGAGAAGACAGUCCUUUUAAGCCUUGCCCCGA